CUGCGGAAGGAUCAUUAAUUAAUCGCGAAAUGCGUGGGGAGCCUUGUAAGUCUGCGGAGCACCUAGUCUGGACUCUUCAGCGCUGGCCCGCGCCUCCUUUUGAUUACAUCCCAUCUGUGAACUUUUCCACUGUUGCUUCCGUGAGCCUGCUGUUCACGCUCUCUGAGAGUGAAUGCCUGAAAAGCCCUGGUCCUGCCAGGGGCGCACGGCAAUGGUACUAGAACUCUGGUUUUAUGUCUUCCAAGUCUGAGUGAUAAAACACAUCAAACAAGUUAAAACUUUCAACAACGGAUCUCUUGGUUCUCGCAUCGAUGAAGAACGCAGCGAAAUGCGAUAAGUAGUGUGAAUUGCAGAAUUCAGUGAAUCAUCGAAUCUUUGAACGCACAUUGCGCCUCCUGGUAUUCCGGGAGGCAUGCCUGUUCGAGCGUCAUGAAAACAUCCUCAAGCAACCUUGCUUGGUCAUGGAGGAAGAUGGUCUAUAGAUCCUCCCCUCUGGAAUUUCUCAGCAGAGACCGCAAUAACCUCAGGUGUGAUAACAUUACCUCGCUUGAAGGUUGUGGUGAGCUCUCGCUGUGCAGAACCCCCCAGCAUUUACCAUGUUUGACCUCGGAUCAGGUAGGGAUACCCGCUGAACUUAAGCAUAUCAAUAAGCGGAGGAAAAGAAACCAACAGGGAUUGCCUUAGUAACUGCGAGUGAAGCGGCAAAAGCUCAAUUUGAAAUCUGGUACCAGUCGGUGCCCGAGUUGUAAUUUGGA
RNAcentral lists this ribosomal RNA (755 nucleotides) under fungal sp. RNAcentral describes it as "eukaryotic LSU rRNA". The stretch from base 277 to 430 matches the Rfam family "5.8S ribosomal RNA". The record is from RNAcentral. Lineage: Eukaryota; Fungi.